UACGUAGGGUGCAGGCGUUAAUCGGAAUUACUGGGCGUAAAGCGUGCGCAGGCGGUUUGCUAAGAGAGAUGUGAAAUCCCCGGGCUCAACCUGGGAAUUGCGAUGGAGACUGCAAGGCUAGAAUCUGGCAGAGGGGGGUAGAAUUCCACGUGUAGCAGUGAAAUGCGUAGAGAUGUGGAGGAACACCGAUUGCGAAGGCAGCUCGCUGGAACGUAACUGACGCUGAGACGCGAAAGCGUGGGGAGCAAACAGG
Molecule: ribosomal RNA, 253 nt
Filed under: uncultured bacterium
Lineage: Bacteria
Description: partial 16S ribosomal RNA
Rfam family: Bacterial small subunit ribosomal RNA
Source: RNAcentral